CGAACGGCUGGAGUCGAAUGGCCCCGCCCCCGGAGCCACCUCCCGCCUCCGAGCUGCAGAGCUCCGCCCCUCUGCAGAAUCACCUCAGCGGGGCGGGGUCUCCUCACCUCUGGCGGCGGGGACUCCGUGGAGACCCCAGGCUGUGGCUCCCCGCCCCCUCCUCAACUUUUCGCUAGAGACUUUCGAACACUCUUCCCAUUCGCUUCUCUGUGUUGUAUGGAAACGUGAAAGGUUCAAACAACAGAAGUGCACCGAGAAACUGGCUGCUACACCUUGAACUCUUUCCCCCCCUGCCAUGACGCCCUGCCUUGGAGCCAGCCAACUCUGGACUGAAACCUCUACAAACGGAUCUCCCUAUGCAGUUCAGGCUGACCUUGAGCUCACUCUGUAGCCUAGCCCGGUUGCUCAGCCUCCAAGUGCUGGGAUUACAGAUGAACCUUAGGAGUGAUUUCUCUAGAUCUAUAAGAUUCCACUGCCCUGCAGAUUUGUGUCUUCUGAACAAUGCACAGCUAUGGUGAAGCUUUGUGACCAGCUUCACCUAGCAAAAUGUUUACCCGUGACGUAGCGUACGUAGUCCCUUUUAUGACUGAAUGAUAUCCCACUGCGUGAACAUAGCAUACUUUGUCAAUGACCAGUUCAUGGCUCCUGGGUUAUUUCCACCCUUUUGCUACUAUGAAUAAUAUUGUUGUGAGCCUCGUGUACAUGUUUUUAUAGAGACAUGAGUUUUCAUUUCCCCUGGGUCCAUGAACUGAAGUUUCUAUGAAAAAGUUAAUGAUAAUUUUCCAAUUAGUAAGCUUUAUUCCAAUUAGUGAACAGUUAAUGUGGGGGAAAGGAGUUGGAGGAGAAGUUGGUGCAGGUUACACACAAGGUGGAAAGGAAUUUAAGAGCUUAGGCCUGCAUGGUUUCAAAUCCUGUGGGAUGUUUGCCUUAGGGAAUUUAUUUAAUUUAUUUAACUCUGGGUUUCUGUUUUUUUGACUAUAAAAUGUUUUUUUUUUUUUUUUUUUUUUUGCCUUUUUCGUUUUUAUCGGUACCAGGGAUCGAACUCACGACUGCCUGCUUAUAAGGCAGGUGCUUAUGCCGCUGAGCUAAAUCCCCAGCCCCUUGACUAUAAAAUGUAGAAAAAAUAUAAUAACAGUUACCUUGUAAGACUUGUGAGGAUUAAAUGAGAUAGCUGUAAACUCAGUGUCAUGUACAUUGUCAACACUUAUUGUUAGUAAUUAUUUAUUAAUAAUAUAUACUAUGGCAUUUUUAUAGUAAUCAUGCAUUGAUUUUGCAAUUUUAAAAACAAAUUUAAGGGAUGGGGAAUAUAGUUCAGUUAUAGAGUGCUUACCCAGUGUGCACAAGGCCCCAGGUUCAAUCUCCUGUACCAUCAAAAGAAAAAAAAUUUAAAACGUAUGAAGUCAGCCUUAAUUUUGUAUGCUUACUAAUUUAAACACAUUCUUAUAUUAUCAAAUCAUUCUGUAAGCUGGAAAAAGUGAUUUAAUCCUGCUUCCUCGCUGUCUUAGACUAAAUGAGGAAAUGGAGGUUGCUUACUUAAGGUCUGAAUUAUGCUUUAUUAUUUUCCACUUUACAAAUUAGGAGGGAGUAGGCACACCCAAGUUUAUAGCGGCACAGUCUGUGAUACCCGAAUCUUGGAAACAGCACAAAUGCCCAUCAAUCAAUGAAUGGAUGCAGAUGUGGUGUUUUAUACAAUGGAGUACUACUCUUCCAUAAAGAAGGAUAAACUUGAAACAUUUCUAGGUAAAUACAUGCACUUUGAGACCAUACUCUUAAGUACAAUAAAUCAGAUAUACAUAUAAAAAAUCACAAAGUAGUAAUAACAUUGGUAAUACCAUUCUUACCAAAAGUGAUCCUAAAACAAAUGCAGAUGGUCCCCAACUUAUCAUGGCUUGACUUAUGAGUCUCUUACUACCAUGGUGAGAGAGCAGUAUGUGUCCAGGAGAACCAACACUUUGAAUGUGGAUCUUCUCCUGGGCUAGCUGUAUGUGGUAUGAUAUUCUUUUGUGGUCUGGGCCAGCAGCAGCAAGCCAUGGCUCCCAGUCAGCCAUACACUCCUGAAGGUGAACAACAAAUACUGUACUGUACAUUGUUAUAAAGUAGGGUAUGUGUGUUAAACAUUUGUUUGUGAUGAGUUUAUGAAGAUAUAAUACCAUCGUGUAAGUCAAGGAGCAUUUGGCCCAGCAAUAUUAGGUUUUGUAGCCUAUAAAAGGUUACUUUAAUUUUCCCACUGAUAAUUUAGAUCUUUGAAGCAAAAUAAUUUUGGGGGGAGUUUUUUUUUUUGCAUGAGGAAUCGAACUCGGGACCUUGCACUUAUCAGGCAGGCACUUAUGCCACUGAGCUAUAUCUGCAGCCUGAAGCAAAACUAUUUUAAAUAAAUUUCUUUUGGGGGGCUGGGGAUUUAGCUCAGUGGCAUAAGCGCCUGCCUUGCAAGCAGGCAGUCAUGAGUUCAAUCCCUGGUACUGAUAAAAAUUUUUUUAAAAAUUUCUUUUUGGCCUUUGAAUCUUUUUGCUUUAGAACAAAACAAACAAAGAAUCUGUUAAUAGUUAGCAUCUUGCCAAAGAUCUUGUCUCAUCUUCGUACAGCUGACAUGGCUGUCCAUUUUAAUUGACUGCCUGUAGAAUUAGUAAUUUUAUGAUUUUGCUGGUGACUCCAAUCUUAAGCAAUGAUAUCCUUCUAAUAAGGCUUAUUGUAUUUAUAGGAUUUAAUGAGAAAUUAGAUGUUUUUCCUUUUUAAAAAAAAUUUUUUGGUACUACAAUGUCACACUUGCCAGGCACUAUGCAACUGAGCUACAUCCUGGCCCUGAGAAAUUAGAUUUUUAAGAAGAAACAAAAGUAUUAAACCUGUUAAAAUGUACUCUUGAAGCCAUUUCUACAUGUUUCCUCUAGUUGUGUUCAUAUUUCUAGUACAGAAUGACAGACUUGUAAGGUCCUUCCCCUGGCCGCCCUCUUAAGUCCCUUUUGGACUCAACAAAAGGCCACUUACCAGGACUCCCAAACAGAAUACAGGGCCAUUUUCCAGACUUCAGGAGAUCCAUUGUCUUGUAACUAUGAACUUGUAAGUACCUACAAAGUAACAAGAACUGUACUUAAGACUGACUACCUUUGCUUGUGUGUGUAACAGCUUUAUUAAGUUACAGUUUGUGCACCACACAAUUCAUCCACUUAAAGUAUAUGAUUCAGUUGCUUUUUUGUCUAUUCAUAGAAUUGUGCAACCACAGUGUCAAAAUAUUUUCAUCCCAAACAGAAACCUCAUUGCUAUUAGUAAUCACUCCCUUUUUCUCCCCUAUCCAUGGCAACCAGAAAUCUAUUUUGUCUCUGAAUUUGCCUGAUCUGGACAUUUCCUGUAAGUGGCAUCAAAUGAUAGGUGAUCUUUCGCGCUGAGCUUCACAUAGCACAGUGUUUAUAGCAUUCAUUUAUGUAUUCAUAUUGUAGCAUGUAUCUGCUACUUCUUACCUUUUAUGACUGAAGGAAGUUCCAUCGCAUGGGUGUACCACAUUUGUUUGUCCUUAAUCAGACCAGAAUUAUUCUAUAGAGAGAACUGUGACCUGAAUUUGGAAAUCUCAAAGACCAUGUGUUUUUCAACAGCUUUCAAAAACAAGCUAGCUAGCAUUCUUCUGUCUAGAAAGAAAAAGAGUCUGUUUAUCAAAUUUCCAAAUUCUAUAGCCUCUCAUGGAACAAUUGGCAAUCAGCUUUAGGGUUAGAGAGAGGAAGGCACAGUGGUAUAAAUUAAGGAGUGUUACAAUUCAUCCCCCUUUGAUCAUCAGUUUGGGCUGCGGUAACAAAAUACCAGAAGCUAGGAAGUCCAACAUGUUUAAAGGCGCAGGUGGACUUGGUUCCUGGGCUGUCUUCCUGGUUUGUCCAUGCCUGCCUUCUCUCACAUUCCCAUGAAUGGUGGUAAGGGGUGAGCUCUGGUCUCUCUUUUUUCUUCUUAUAAGGACACGAAUCCCAUCAGCAGAGCCUACCUUUGUGACCACAUUUAAACCCAAUUUGGACAAGAGCUAAGGCCCCACCUCCAAAUACUUCUCACAUUGGGAGCCAGAGCUUCUCAGGACACGCUAUUCAGUCCAGAAUACUUCCAUAUCACAGGAAAUUCUUUAUUUUACUUGUAACAGCAUCACUGGUCACAGCAAAUAGAAGUUGCCUUAGUUACUUUCUCCUUGCUGAGACACAGUACCCGACUCCCACAAUUGAAAGGCGGGAAGUCUUAUUUUUGAAAGUUAAUUUUAUUGGUACACUUUUGAUAUACAUAAUGAUCACAUUCAUCAUAGGGAAUUUAUUCCCAUACAUACUUAUCUUGAUUCUUCUUUUUUUCCCCCAUUCUCCUCCCAGAAAGGUUUAUUUUGGCUCACAGUUUGUAGAGGUUUCAGUUGAUAAUUUGCUGGCUUCAAGGAAGGGUAGCAUGGCAGAGGGGCAGCGGGGAGGAGAGACAGCACAUGGCAUGGCAGCUGGACACAGAGUGAUCAAGGGAGAAGGAGGGAUGGGUAUACCUUCCAGGCCACGCCCACCCUUUCCCCCAAAACACCCCCAACCUUACACCUAAUUCCAGACUCUUCAGUGGACCAAUCCACUGAUGAAUAUCACACACAGGAUCCAGUGGCUUUCCCAAAGCCCCUCCUGUGAGUGCAGGAGGUUUUGGAGGGACAUCUAACAUCAUAGAAGUUCAUAUAAAUCAGUGGAUUUUUAGCAUGGGCACCCGUAACUUAGUGUGAAUUGGUUAAUCACGCUUUCUUUCUAACCCUUGGUAGAUGGUAGAUAACUUAUGGCUGGUUGAAACUAAGGCGUUCUGAUAGAAAAGGAAGUCCUUAAAAAGGAUGAGAAAGGAGUGAUUUUAGAGUCUUAGAUCAUUUAGAACACAUUACAUGCGUUAUACUUUGGAGGCAUGUCCUUGCAUAGCAACUCCACAAGAUAAGCACUGUGUAUUGUUGUGUUUUGGUUUGUUUUGUUUUACUUGGAAAGAAAGGAAAAAGCUUCAAAAAGUUAACUGUUACCAAAGGCUAUUUAACAGACUGCAGGCAGAAAGCUGGGAUUUUAAACCAAAUCUAUGUCAUUCCACAGAAUCAGAGGGGUUCCGUAUUGUUUGUUUUUCCUAUUCCGAACUGAAAGCAGACGCUGAGUGAGACCAGGACUAGGAAGGGGAAAUGGAGAGAGCUGGAGAGGGUGUCAAGGCCAAACUCUGCCUUCUCUACAAUUCUGUCACCACCGCUAGCCGGCUCUGCCCCUGCCCCAGACGGCUCAGCUGUGCAGACGUGCUAAUGAGUCCCUAAAUGCUUCCUGGCUUAGUGCAACUACUGUGUGAGAGGGUGAGGGCUCCGGCUGCUGCUGCUGCCCAGGCCACACACCCUCCAGCAAAACUUCCUUAUUUGGAAACAUCUUUUCCAUCCUAUUUGGGCGGAAGGACUACAAUCUCACAUUUAAGAAAAACAAAAUGCUUUGCCCUCCAUCAGACGGGGCACUUAAGAAUACUGAAAACAGAGGAACACCUAAAAGAUGGGGUGCAUUGCUAACUUUACUCAAGGGAAAGGUAGUGGAGGCAGGGUGUGCUUCAUCGGAGUUGAUCGAACUAGCAGGAAUCCCUUUUUCUUUAACUCCAGAACAACCUGAAUUUGGAAAUCUCAAGAAGCAUGUGUUUUUCAACAGUCUUAAAAAUGAGCUGGGCAUGGUGGCACAUACAUGUAAUUCCAGUACCCAGGUGGCAGAGGCAGAAGGAUCACCACAAGUUCAAGGCCAGGCUGAACUAAAUAGUAAGACCUUGUCUCAAAAAACAGAAGCAAAAAAUAAAAAUAAGAUUGUUAGCUGCACGUGGUGGUACACACAGCACUCCGGAGGCUGAGGCAGGAGGCUUGCAGCGAGUUCAAACCCAGCCUGGGCUACGCAUUGAUUCAAGGCCAGGCUAGACUAUAUAGUGAGACCCUGCUCAAAAAAACAAAAAUGAAACAAACAAACCAAAAAUUAGCAUUCUUCUGUCUAGAAAGACAAAAGAAUGCUCUGCUUGUGGUAGUAUACACCUGUGAUACCAGCACCCUGCGAUGCUGAGGCAGGAGGAUGGCAAGUUUAAGGCCCAGCCAGGGUAACAUAGUGACUUAAAGAGAAUCUAUUUAAAAAUUAAAAAUUAAAAAAGAACUGGUAAUCUCGCACAAUACAAAGGCCCUGAUUUCAAUCGCCAGUACUACAAAUGAACAAGGAAAAACAGAAGCUGUUUUAGUUAGCAAAAAGCUUUGAACCACUGUACUGUAAUAUAAAAUUCAGCACCUUUUUGCUGGAGUUAAGAACAUAUACUGUUUUAAAAUUAUUUACACUGCUGAAGAUGGGAGAGGCCUGAGUAUCAAGGGAAUGUUCGUUUGCGGAUAUAAUUUAGCAUUUAACGCUUUGAGCAGGAGGUAUUAGAAAAGAUAGUUUCUGAAAAGAUAGGACUAAGAAAGUAUUUGCAGGGUGGUUCAGUGGGGUCACCCUAAGUGUCCACUCCUGGAAGCUGCCCGAGGAGCAGCUUGUUAGAUAGACAGAAAGUGUAGAUUUAAGUCAAGUCUGAACUCUAGACUAACUCGCUUGAUGAUCUUGGGCAAACGACUUCUCUAAUCUUGGGCCUCAGUCUGCUCCUUUCCGAGAGGAGCUGGCUAGAGGGUCCCCACAGCCUGUCCAGAACUGGAGUUGUUUUAUGAUUCCCAGGGCUGUGGGAGGGGCGGGCCUGGGGUAGUGUGUGCCGCAGAGGUCAUGGGUUUCUAGUGCCCUCCAGACUCACCCCUGAUUUCCUGUCCUGGGGUGCCCUCCUUGCCCGUCUGGAGCCUCGGGUCUCUGUUACUUCCUGGCUUCCUGGAGCAACUUCCUGCAGACCCAUUGGAGUGCGAAGCAUAAAAAGCCCAAUUGCUUCUGGGGAGCUUAUCAAGGCCCACCUGCACUGAGUUCGAUCACCACCCAGCCAUCUGGUCAUGAUGGAUUAAGUCAGAUAGAAUAAGCCUCGUUGGUAUUUGCUAAAAUCUAAACACACUCACAAAAUAAGAUAACCAGAAUCUACUUGCUUCCCCCGAAAGGUCCUGAUGUCUGCAUUCUUCAUUUAGGUAGGAGGACAACGUUGAUUGAAGGGGUUUCCUGUGCCCUUCUGAUUGCAAAAACAAGUUGGGUUGGGCAGCCCUCUCUGAUCUGGGAGACCCAGGGAAAUUGUGCGAUCUUGCCAGGCAUAGUGCAAGAUGGAGAUUUUGUUUUCCUCGCAUUAAUCCGCAGCUAAUGCCAGUGAACAUUAUCCUUGUUUAAUUACAUUCACUAACCAACUGACACAACUUCCCCUGGGAAGAAGCUUAUCCGACUCUGACUCACGCUCUGCAGCAUGUUGGAUUUGAGGAAAUGGAUAAUAUACACCCCGCUGGCUUUGGAAUUUUAAACAGAAACCCACAUGCUGCCGAGGCUCCGGCUUACUCCCAAAUAUGGGAGAAUGUGUGCCCUGGCCACAGUUGCAGGAGGCACGCUCAGUGGGACAAGAGGCAAAACCCACAGGGCGCCUGAGUGCCAGGCGGGGGAUGCCAGAGCCAGCAGCCACUUAAAGGAGAAGGAACAACCUGAAGAAAGGGAGGGAGGACCGAGUGCCUCCCCUGGAGUUCUCUGGGGGAUUCGUGGACGUGAGUCUUGCUGAGAGCAGCGUGCAUUCCCAGCAUCUGGACCUGAGAAGAGUCUGCAUGUCAGAGCAGGAGAUGAAAUGACUCCAACCUACACCAAGCUGCUUAGGUCACUUUGGUCCCCGUCAUGGUGAGAAACCCUUUGGUGACCAGCUGGCCUGGGACCAAUUGGGGCCACUGCUCCAGCAUUUGAGGGAAGGGUCGUGGGGACAGUGUCCCAGAGCAGGCGGAGAUGAAUCCUCAGCUGGAAGCCAAAAUGAAGACACAAGGUCCCCUUCAGCUCCAUCCUGCCCAUGCGGAGCCCCUCCUUCCUGCCAGCAAGCUCCGAAUGCCCUUUAACCUCUUUCCACUACGGCUGUCCUUGUGCUUCAUGUUGAAAAAUCUUCACUUUUUAAAAAAUUGUAUUUUUUAAAGCCAGGCAUGGUGGUGCACGCCUGUAAUCCCAGCACUCGGGAGGCUGAGGCAGGAGGAUCAUUGUGAGUUUGAGACCACCCUAUACUACAAAGUGAGCUCAAGGCCAGCCUGAACUGCAUAGCAAGACAGUCUCAAAAAGAUAAAGUAAAGUAAAAUAAAAUAAUUGUAUUGUCUGAUUUAUUAACUAUUUUGUGGUAUUAGGCACUGAACAUAGGUCAUUGCACCAAACUAUUUUCCCAGCCCUCCCUGCCACGCCACCCCACCUCACCCCACCCCACUUGGAGCCAGAGCCUCCCUAAGUGCUAAAUCGCCCAGGCUGGAUUCGAACUUGCAAUUCUUCUGUCUCAGUCUCCCAGCACUGGAGACUAUAGGUGUGCAUUACUAUGCCCGGCUUACUGUUUUAUCUUUAAAAUGAUAUGUGCUCAAUGAAAGUCAAACAAGGUAGAAAUAGAGCAUUAACAGCUCCCAUUUGGAGUAUUUUCUUUGCAUAAAACAUUGUUCUAAAGUACAGAAUGCACAUCAGUUUACAUAAACUUCCUAAAAGCCCAUGGAGUAAGUACACUAUCAUCCACCCCGUUUACAAGUAAAAAAACUAAAACUCACACAGAUGAAAUAACCUGCCUAAAGUCACACAGCAAGGACAUGGCAAAGCUGAGAUUUGAACCCAAGUGCCUCAGCGUUGGGCUAAUCCUGCUUUAAAGACAGGAGAGCAAUCAACCCCACCCCACCACACAAAGAUGAUCACUAUUAAUGUGUUCCAGACUGCUCUUUAUACACAUGCAUGUGGUAUUUGCCUUACCCUGAUCUCAGUAGAAUAGAAUCUAGGGUUGCAUCUGAGAAGGAAUCACCAAUUAACUAUACCAGCUUUCUUUAGAAACUCAACUGGAGCCUGCAAUUGGCCAGGUCCUGCCUCCGUCUUGCUGGAUGCUUUGUGGCAAGCGUCUCCUAAGCGCUCAGCAAGUGCCCUUCGGUGAUGUCCGGGCCGGCUUGUGUAUACCCUUGGCUUGUGCACCCAUGUAGAUAUCUAACAGCUGUUCCUUCCCCUCCAGAUGGGGCCAGUGUGGGGUCAUAGCCAAAUAAAGAACCACCUGCCUCAUCACUCUGGAGAGCAAAA
This is a long non-coding RNA of Cavia porcellus (domestic guinea pig), 9131 nucleotides long. RefSeq lists it as uncharacterized. The record is from RefSeq and is a predicted model, not a curated record. The transcript has 5 exons. NCBI's taxonomy places the organism in Eukaryota, Metazoa, Chordata, Mammalia, Rodentia, Caviidae.